Neolamprologus brichardi is the source of this 328-nucleotide non-coding RNA. Lineage: Eukaryota; Metazoa; Chordata; Actinopteri; Cichliformes; Cichlidae. The record is from RefSeq and is a predicted model, not a curated record.
AGUCUGGCUUUGACAUUACAAAGCUCCUGUCAGCAAAGAAAAAACUGGAAGCCAAAAAGCAGAGACACGAGAAAAAAGAAGCCAAGAGAGUCAAAAAAGAGCUCAAGAAGAAUGGGGUAGACGUGAACAGGGAGCCAAACAUGGAGGAGCAGAACCAUGUGUCUGUCAUUGAAGUAGAUGCUGAGCGGGACCCCUCACUCCCAAGAGCCAUUGUUCUCGACCUUGGCCCUGUCAACUUCCUGGACACCGUGGGGGUCAAGACACUACGAAGUAUUCGGAGAGACUACGGAGAAAUUGGAGUGGAGGUGUUUCUUGCUGGUUGCCAAAG